This 58-nucleotide transfer RNA is filed under the name Ixodes scapularis (black-legged tick). It matches the Rfam family "tRNA", at positions 8 to 63 of the family's 71-position model. Rfam says of the family: Transfer RNA (tRNA) molecules are approximately 80 nucleotides in length. Their secondary structure includes four short double-helical elements and three loops (D, anti-codon, and T loops). Lineage: Eukaryota; Metazoa; Arthropoda; Arachnida; Ixodida; Ixodidae. The record is from Rfam by way of RNAcentral.
UAGCUCAGUUGGUAGAGCGCUCCACCUGUAACGGAGAGGUCCCGGGUUCGAUACCCGG